CGGAGGGUGCGAGCGUUGUCCGGAAUCACUGGGCGUAAAGGGCGCGUAGGCGGUGGGGUAAGCGUGUGGUGAAAGUCCGGGGCUCAACCCCGGAUCGGCCGUGCGAACUGCCCCACUUGAGCACUGUAGAGGCAGGUGGAAUUCCGGGUGUAGCGGUGGAAUGCGUAGAGAUCCGGAAGAACACCGGUGGCGAAGGCGGCCUGCUGGGCAGUGGCUGACGCUGAGGCGCGACAGCGUGGGAGCAAACAGGAUUAGAUACCCUGGUAGUCCACGCCGUAAACGAUGGGCACUAGGUGCUUGGGGGAGCGACCCUCCGAGUGCCGGCGCUAACGCAUUAAGUGCCCCGCCUGGGGAGUACGACCGCAAGGUUG
RNAcentral lists this ribosomal RNA (371 nucleotides) under uncultured organism. Its description in RNAcentral is "bacterial SSU rRNA". It matches the Rfam family "Bacterial small subunit ribosomal RNA", at positions 526 to 896 of the family's 1533-position model. The record is from RNAcentral.